GAUGAAGCGUGCCGAAAGGCACGUGGAA
Molecule: unclassified non-coding RNA, 28 nt
Filed under: synthetic construct
Description: RNA (28-MER) from synthetic construct (PDB 1YSH, chain A)
Source: RNAcentral